GGCCUGCUAGCUCAGUCGGUUAGAGCGUCGUGCUAAUAACGCGAAGGUCACAGGUUCGAUCCCUGUGCCGGCCA
This 74-nucleotide transfer RNA is filed under the name Ixodes scapularis (black-legged tick). RNAcentral's name for it is "tRNA-Ile for anticodon AAU". It matches the Rfam family "tRNA". From Rfam's summary of the family: Transfer RNA (tRNA) molecules are approximately 80 nucleotides in length. The record is from RNAcentral. Lineage: Eukaryota; Metazoa; Arthropoda; Arachnida; Ixodida; Ixodidae.